GGGGAAUAUUGGACAAUGGGCGCAAGCCUGAUCCAGCCAUGCCGCGUGUGUGAAGAAGGCCUUCGGGUUGUAAAGCACUUUUGUCCGGGAAGAAAACCCUGGGGCUAAUACCCACGGGGAAUGACGGUACCGGAAGAAUAAGCACCGGCUAACUUCGUGCCAGCAGCCGCGGUAAUACGAAGGGUGCAAGCGUUACUCGGAAUUACUGGGCGUAAAGCGUGCGUAGGCGGUUUGUUAAGUCAGAUGUGAAAGCCCCGGGCUCAACCUGGGAACUGCAUUUGAUACUGGCGAGCUAGAGUACGGUAGAGGGUGGUGGAAUUCCCGGUGUAGCGGUGAAAUGCGUAGAGAUCGGGAGGAACAUCUGUGGCGAAGGCGGCCACCUGGACCAGUACUGACGCUGAGGCACGAAAGCGUGGGGAGCAAAC
This 425-nucleotide ribosomal RNA is filed under the name uncultured bacterium. RNAcentral's name for it is "bacterial SSU rRNA". It matches the Rfam family "Bacterial small subunit ribosomal RNA", at positions 356 to 773 of the family's 1533-position model. The record is from RNAcentral.